AAAUGUUUCUGUCAGAGUAUGUGCACUGUAAAUGAUAUUUUAUUUCUUGCUCUCUCUCUUGGCAGGUAUUUUUCACGGAGAUCUAAAAGUGGAAAACAUUUUUGUUAAAAGCGGUGACAUCAAUGAAGUAAAUGAAGUGAAAUUAAACAUAAAGCCUUCAGUCUGGGACAGUGUGUGCCUUUCUUCCUGAACAAAGGGAGAGGAGAAUAACUCCUGAGUGACUUUAAUGGGAGAAGUGGAAAACACAGAGCCAAGUCCCAAAGCUGGUGCAGCCAGCCGAUAUGCAGACAGAAUGAUGGGACAAAUCCAGGCGUGGCUUGCUCCUGGUGAAAGACGCUCUUCCAUAUGGCA
Long non-coding RNA from Vidua chalybeata, 351 nucleotides. RefSeq lists it as uncharacterized. Lineage: Eukaryota; Metazoa; Chordata; Aves; Passeriformes; Viduidae. The transcript is spliced from 4 exons. The record is from RefSeq and is a predicted model, not a curated record.